This is a non-coding RNA of Acanthosepion pharaonis, 83 nucleotides long. Lineage: Eukaryota; Metazoa; Mollusca; Cephalopoda; Sepiida; Sepiidae. The record is from the annotation of a GenBank genome assembly.
AUCCCGUACGAUUACCGAAGUUAAGCAACGUCAAGCCUGAUCAGUACCUAGAUGGGUGAACACUUGGGAAUAUAUGGUGCUAU